AGAGCGAACGCUGGCGGCAGGCCUAAAACAUGCAAGUCGAACGCCGUAGCAAUACGGAGUGGCAGACGGGUGAGUAACACGUGGGAACGUACCCUUUGGUUCGGAACAACACAGGGAAACUUGUGCUAAUACCGGAUAAGCCCUUACAGGGAAAGAUUUAUCGCCAGAGGAUCGGCCCGCGUCUGAUUAGCUAGUUGGUGGGUAACGCCCACCAAGGCUACGAUCAGUAGCUGGUCUGAGAGGAUGAUCAGCCACACUGGGACUGAGACACGGCCCAGACUCUACGGAGGCAGCAGUUAGGAAUCUUGGACAAUGGGCGCAAGCCUGAUCCAGCCAUGCGCGUUGAGUGAUGAAAGGCCUUAGGGUUGUAAAGCUCUUUCAGCGGGGAAGAUAAAUGAACGGUACCGCAGAAAGAAGCCCCGGCUAACUUCGUGCCAAGCCAGUCCGC
This 448-nucleotide ribosomal RNA is filed under the name uncultured soil bacterium. RNAcentral describes it as "bacterial SSU rRNA". It matches the Rfam family "Bacterial small subunit ribosomal RNA", at positions 26 to 518 of the family's 1533-position model. The record is from RNAcentral.